This 244-nucleotide unclassified non-coding RNA is filed under the name fungal sp. RNAcentral's name for it is "partial internal transcribed spacer region". The stretch from base 1 to 46 matches the Rfam family "Eukaryotic small subunit ribosomal RNA", at positions 1786 to 1831 of the family's 1831-position model. The record is from RNAcentral. Lineage: Eukaryota; Fungi.
AAGUCGUAACAAGGUCUCCGUUGGUGAACCAGCGGAGGGAUCAUUAUCGAGUUACUCAACUCCCAAAACCCUGUGAACUUUACCACUGUUGCUUCGGCGGAGUCGUCCCGGGUGCGCUCGAAAGGGCGUGUCCCGGAUCCAUGGCGCCCGCCGGGGGACCUAAACUCUUGUUUUUAUAAUGGUAUCUUCUGAGUGGCAUAAGCAAAAUAAAUCAAAACUUUCAGCAACGGAUCUCUUGGUUCUG